Molecule: long non-coding RNA, 392 nt
Filed under: Equus caballus (horse)
Lineage: Eukaryota; Metazoa; Chordata; Mammalia; Perissodactyla; Equidae
Description: lncRNA (ENSECAG00000058416.1)
Source: RNAcentral
CGGAGCUGGGGCGCGGCGGAGCCGGGAGCUGCCCGCGUCUAGAGCCCGCUCGGCGCGCCAUGGAGCUCGGGGGCCCGGGGGCGCCGCCGCCGCCGCUGCUGCCGCCGCUGCUGCUGCUUCUGGGGGUCGGCCUCCUGCCCGAGGAGAGGAGAAACCCAGGCGGAGAGUCAGGCAGCACAUGCAAAGGUCCUGAGUGAGCAGCGAUGUGGAGACCCAGGCCCACGCCGAGGAGCGGCUGCUGAAAAAACUCUUCUCUGGCUACAACAAGUGGUCCCGGCCUGUGGCCAACAUCUCGGAUGUGGUCUUUGUCCACUUCGGCCUGUCCAUUGCACAGCUCAUUGACGUGGACGAGAAGAAUCAGAUGAUGACAACGAAUGUGUGGGUGAAGCAAG